RNAcentral lists this ribosomal RNA (321 nucleotides) under uncultured Pseudomonas sp. RNAcentral's name for it is "bacterial SSU rRNA". It matches the Rfam family "Bacterial small subunit ribosomal RNA", at positions 1060 to 1382 of the family's 1533-position model. Lineage: Bacteria; Pseudomonadati; Pseudomonadota; Gammaproteobacteria; Pseudomonadales; Pseudomonadaceae. The record is from RNAcentral.
UCGUGUCGUGAGAUGUUGGGUUAAGUCCGCAACGAGCGCAACCCUCGACCUUAGUUGCCAGCAUUCAGUUGGGCGACUCUAAGGUGACUGCCGGUGACAAACCGGAGGAAGGUGGGGAUGACGUCAAGUCAUCAUAGCCCUUACGGCCUGGGCUACACACGUGCUACAAUGGUCGGUACAAAGGGUUGCCAAGCCGCGAGGUGGAGCUAAUCCCAUAAAACCGAUCGUAGUCCGGAUCGCAGUCUGCAACUCGACUGCGUGAAGUCGGAAUCGCUAGUAAUCGUGAAUCAGAAUGUCACGGUGAAUACGUUCCCGGGCCUU